RNAcentral lists this ribosomal RNA (460 nucleotides) under uncultured bacterium. Its description in RNAcentral is "partial 16S ribosomal RNA". It matches the Rfam family "Bacterial small subunit ribosomal RNA", at positions 338 to 795 of the family's 1533-position model. The record is from RNAcentral.
CCUACGGGUGUCAGCAGUGAGGAAUAUUGGUCAAUGGACGUAAGCCUGACCCAUCCAAGUCGCGUUCAGGAUGACGGCUCUAUGAGUUGUAAACUUCUUUUAUACAGGAAUAAAGUGAGCUACGUGUCCCUUUUUGUAUGUACCUUAUGAAUAAGGAUCUGCUAACUCCGUGCCAGCAGCCGCGGUAAUACGGAGGAUUCACGCGUUAUCCGGAUUUAUUGGGUUUACAGUGUGCGUAGAUGGGUUGUUAAGUCAGUUGUGAAAGUCUGAGGCUCAACCGUAAAAUUGCCAUUGAUACUGGUCGGCUUGAGGACAGUUGCGGUAGGCGGAAUUCGUGGUGUAGCGGUGAAAUGCUUAGAUAUCACGCAGAACUCCGAUUGCGAAGGCAGCCUACUAAACUACCAAUGACGUUGAUGCUCGAAAGUGUGGGUAUCAAACAGGAUUAGAUACCCGGGUAGUC